CAUGCCCAAGAGGAAGGUCAGCUCGGCCAGGGGUGCUGUGAAGGAGGAGCCCAAGAGGAGAUCAGCGAGGCUGUCAGCUAAGCCAGCUGCAAAAGUGGAAACGAAGCCCAAAAAGGCAGCAGGCAAGGAGAAGUCUUCUGACAAAAAGUGCAAACAAAAGGGAAAAGGGGGGCAAAGGGAAAACAGGCUGAAGUGGCUAACCAAGAAACUAAACAAGACUUACCUGCAGAAAAUGGAGAAACUAAAAACGAAGAGUCCAGCCUCUGAUGAAGCAGAAGAAAAAGAAGCCAAGUCUGAUUAAUAUUUGUCUACCAUGUCUUAUCAGUGGUCCCUGUAUCUCCUUCCUUGUACAAUCCAGAGCAAUAUUUUUAUCAACUAUUUUGUAAAUGCAAGUUUUUUAGUACUUCUAGAAACAUUUUUAAGAAGAAGGAAAUCCCAUUUCAUCCCAUUUUUUAAGAGUAAAUGCUUUUUUUUUUUAAGAGGUGACAUCAUUUGCUGUUUGUUUAUUUUUUGGUACAACCAGAAAAUAUGGGAUGUUAAAAUUGUGGGGGAGCUUUGGAUGUCAGUGUA
RNA transcript from Elephantulus edwardii (Cape elephant shrew), 570 nucleotides. It is a transcript of the gene named non-histone chromosomal protein HMG-14-like, with no coding region annotated. NCBI's taxonomy places the organism in Eukaryota, Metazoa, Chordata, Mammalia, Macroscelidea, Macroscelididae. The record is from RefSeq and is a predicted model, not a curated record. The transcript has a single exon.